RNAcentral lists this small nuclear RNA (19 nucleotides) under Arabidopsis thaliana (thale cress). RNAcentral's name for it is "snRNA_05502". Lineage: Eukaryota; Viridiplantae; Streptophyta; Magnoliopsida; Brassicales; Brassicaceae. The record is from RNAcentral.
GCCUUGAAUUAUAAUUACC